CGCGAAGCCCGGGCCAGGAGCCGCGGUAAUACGUAUGUCGCAAGCGUUAUCCGGAAUUAGUGGGCGUAAAGGGCAUCUAGGCGGUCAAUCAAGUCGAAGGUGAAAACUUGUGGCUCAACCAUAAGCUUGCCUACGAAACUGAUUAACUAGAGUACUGGAGAGGUGGACGGAACUACACGAGUAGAGGUGAAAUUCGUAGAUAUGUGUAGGAAUGCCGAUGAUGAAGAUAGUUCACUGGACAGAAACUGACGCUGAAGUGCGAAAGCUAGGGGAGCAAACAGGAUUAGAUACCCUAGUAGUC
Molecule: ribosomal RNA, 301 nt
Filed under: uncultured Lactobacillus sp.
Lineage: Bacteria; Bacillati; Bacillota; Bacilli; Lactobacillales; Lactobacillaceae
Description: bacterial SSU rRNA
Rfam family: Bacterial small subunit ribosomal RNA
Source: RNAcentral